This is a transfer RNA of Lichtheimia corymbifera, 73 nucleotides long. It matches the Rfam family "tRNA". Rfam says of the family: Transfer RNA (tRNA) molecules are approximately 80 nucleotides in length. Their secondary structure includes four short double-helical elements and three loops (D, anti-codon, and T loops). Further hydrogen bonds mediate the characteristic L-shaped molecular structure. tRNAs have two regions of fundamental functional importance: the anti-codon, which is responsible for specific mRNA codon recognition, and the 3' end, to which the tRNAs corresponding amino acid is attached (by aminoacyl-tRNA synthetases). tRNAs cope with the degeneracy of the genetic code in two manners: having more than one tRNA (with a specific anti-codon) for a particular amino acid; and 'wobble' base-pairing, i.e. permitting non-standard base-pairing at the 3rd anti-codon position. The record is from Rfam. Lineage: Eukaryota; Fungi; Mucoromycota; Mucoromycetes; Mucorales; Lichtheimiaceae.
GCGGUCGGGAUCGGAUGGUUUAAGAUGCCCGCCCCCCAAGCGGGAUGACCGGGUUCGAUUCCCGGCGGCCGCA